GAGUUUGAUCUUGGCUCAGAUUGAACGCUGGCGGCAUGCCUUACACAUGCAAGUCGAACGGCAGCAUGAUCUAGCUUGCUAGAUUGAUGGCGAGUGGCGAACGGGUGAGUAAUACAUCGGAACGUGCCCUGUAGUGGGGGAUAACUAGUCGAAAGAUUAGCUAAUACCGCAUACGACCUGAGGGUGAAAGUGGGGGACCGCAAGGCCUCAUGCUAUAGGAGCGGCCGAUGUCUGAUUAGCUAGUUGGUGGGUAAAGGCCCACCAAGGCGACGAUCAGUAGCUGGUCUGAGAGGACGAUCAGCCACACUGGGACUGAGACACGGCCCAGACUCCUACGGGAGGCAGCAGUGGGAAAUUUUGGACAAUGGGCGAAAGCCUGAUCCAGCAAUGCCGCGUGUGUGAAGAAGGCCUCGG
This 414-nucleotide ribosomal RNA is filed under the name uncultured microorganism. Its description in RNAcentral is "bacterial SSU rRNA". It matches the Rfam family "Bacterial small subunit ribosomal RNA", at positions 9 to 420 of the family's 1533-position model. The record is from RNAcentral.